AGUGAACGCUGGCGGCGUGCUUAACACAUGCAAGUCGAACGAGAACGGAUUAUAGCUUGCUAUAAUUGUCAGCUAAGUGGCGCACGGGUGAGUAAUGUAUAGGUAAUAUGCCUCUUACUAAGGGAUAACAAUUGGAAACGUUUGCUAAUACCUUAUACUCCUUAUUAACAUAAGUUAAUAAGGGAAAGAUUUAUUGGUAAGAGAUUAGCCUGUAUUGUAUCAGUUAGUUGGUGGGGUAAUGGCUUACCAAGACUAUGACACAUAACUGGUUUGGGAGGAUGAUCAGUCACAAUGGAACGGAGACACGGACCAGACUCCGACGGGAGGCAGCAGGAGGGAAUAUUGCACAAUAGACGAAAGUGUGAUGCAGCAACGCCGCGUGGAGGAUGACACAUUUCGGUGCGUAAACUCCUUUUAUAUGAGAAGAAAAUGACGGUAUUAUAUGAAUAAGCACCGGCUAACUCCGUGCCAGCAGCCGCCGUAA
This 484-nucleotide ribosomal RNA is filed under the name uncultured bacterium. RNAcentral's name for it is "partial 16S ribosomal RNA". It matches the Rfam family "Bacterial small subunit ribosomal RNA", at positions 29 to 523 of the family's 1533-position model. The record is from RNAcentral.